RNAcentral lists this ribosomal RNA (1424 nucleotides) under uncultured organism. RNAcentral's name for it is "SSU rRNA". It matches the Rfam family "Bacterial small subunit ribosomal RNA". The record is from RNAcentral.
CGCUGGCGGCGUGGAUAAGACAUGCAAGUCGAACGGGAGAAUUGCUAGCUUGCUAAUAAUUCUCUAGUGGCGCACGGGUGAGUAACACGUGAGUAACCUGCCUCUUACUGGGGGAUAGCCCUGGGAAACCGGGAUUAAUACCGCAUACGAUUGAAAGAUCAAAGCAGCAAUGCGCUAGGAGAUGGGCUCGCGGCCUAUUAAUUAGUUGGUGAGGUAACGGCUCACCAAGGCGAUGACGGGUAUCCGGUCUGAGAGGAUGUCCGGCCACACUGGAACUGAGACACGGUCCAGACACCUACCGGUGGCAGCAGUCGAGAAUCAUUCACAAUGGGGGCAACCCUGAUGGUGCGACGCCGCGUGGGGGAAUGAAGGUCUUCGGAUUGUAAACCCCUGUCAUGUGGGAGCAAAUUAAAAAGAUAGUACCACAAGAGGAAGAGACGGCUAACUCUGUGCCAGCAGCCGCGGUAAUACAGAGGUCUCAAGCGUUGUUCGGAAUCACUGGGCGUAAAGCGUGCGUAUGCUGUUUCGUAAGUCGUGUGUGAAAGGCAGGGGCUCAACCCCUGGAUUGCACAUGAUACUGCGAGACUAGAGUAAUGGAGGGGGAACCGGAAUUCUCGGUGUAGCAGUGAAAUGCGUAGAUAUCGAGAGGAACACUCGUGGCGAAGGCGGGUUCCUGGACAUUAACUGACGCUGAGGCACGAAGGCCAGGGGAGCGAAAGGGAUUAGAUACCCCUGUAGUCCUGGCAGUAAACGGUGCACGCUUGGUGUGCGGGGAAUCGACCCCCUGCGUGCCGGAGCUAACGCGUUAAGCGUGCCGCCUGGGGAGUACGGUCGCAAGAUUAAAACUCAAAGAAAUUGACGGGGACCCGCACAAGCGGUGGAGUAUGUGGCUUAAUUCGAUGCAACGCGAAGAACCUUACCUGGGCUUGACAUGUAAUGAACAACAUGUGAAAGCAUGCGACUCUUCGGAGGCGUUACACAGGUGCUGCAUGGCCGUCGUCAGCUCGUGUCGUGAGAUGUUUGGUUAAGUCCAGCAACGAGCGCAACCCCUGUUGCCAGUUACCAGCACGUCAAGGUGGGGACUCUGGCGAGACUGCCCAGAUCAACUGGGAGGAAGGUGGGGACGACGUCAGGUCAGUAUGGCCCUUAUGCCCAGGGCUGCACACGUACUACAAUGCCCAGUACAGAGGGGGCCGAAGCCGCGAGGCGGAGGAAAUCCUGAAAACUGGGCCCAGUUCGGACUGUAGGCUGCAACCCGCCUACACGAAGCCGGAAUCGCUAGUAAUGGCGCAUCAGCUACGGCGCCGUGAAUACGUUCCCGGGUCUUGUACACACCGCCCGUCACAUCAUGGAAGCCGGUCGCACCCGAAGUAUCUGAAGCCAACCGCAAGGAGGCAGGGUCCUAAGGUGAGACUGGUAAAUGG